This 429-nucleotide ribosomal RNA is filed under the name Actinomycetes bacterium. Its description in RNAcentral is "Actinobacteria bacterium partial 16S ribosomal RNA". It matches the Rfam family "Bacterial small subunit ribosomal RNA", at positions 355 to 776 of the family's 1533-position model. Lineage: Bacteria; Bacillati; Actinomycetota; Actinomycetes. The record is from RNAcentral.
UAGGGAAUCUUCCGCAAUGGGCGAAAGCCUGACGGAGCAACGCCGCGUGAGUGAUGAAGGUCUUCGGAUCGUAAAACUCUGUUAUUAGGGAAGAACAAAUGUGUAAGUAACUAUGCACGUCUUGACGGUACCUAAUCAGAAAGCCACGGCUAACUACGUGCCAGCAGCCGCGGUAAUACGUAGGUGGCAAGCGUUAUCCGGAAUUAUUGGGCGUAAAGCGCGCGUAGGCGGUUUUUUAAGUCUGAUGUGAAAGCCCACGGCUCAACCGUGGAGGGUCAUUGGAAACUGGAAAACUUGGGUGCAGAAGAGGAAAGUGGAAUUCCAUGGGUAGCGGUGAAAUGCGCAGAGAUAUGGAGGAACACCAGUGGCGAAGGCGACUUUCUUGUCUGUAACUGACGCUGAUGUGCGAAAGCGUGGGGAUCAAACAGG